This 254-nucleotide unclassified non-coding RNA is filed under the name Hevea brasiliensis (rubber tree). The record is from RNAcentral. Lineage: Eukaryota; Viridiplantae; Streptophyta; Magnoliopsida; Malpighiales; Euphorbiaceae.
GGGCACCAAAGGUCUAUCCUCAGCGGCUCUUUUCCAUUUCUAUUCGCUUGCAUUUAUGAUCUCCUUACUGAAAUGUUUUGGAACCCAUAAAUGAUUAACCUCUACCCAAUAUAAAUGCAACACCUAUAGUAGAUUCUGAUCUUGUGGAUGGAUGGUUCUGUUCUAACUUCUAAUACCCUCAUGAGGACUGAUUGCUUUUCAUGGUUCUUACCGGUAGCUCUAUUGGAAUGCAGGUAAAAGCGAUGGAGUUGAUU